CUUUUUAUUCUUUUCUUUAUUUAAAGCAUUAUUUGAGUGAAAAGAAACUUAUUGCAACAAAUUCGCAUUAAAAUAUAUCACAUUUAUAAAGUUUGCUGCAUUGCUCAAAAAUGAGGACAAUUUUACAUUUUCUCAAACAGGGUAUGAAACUUGGUUCCUCGAAUAACUUCUGACACAGACAUCUAAGGGAAUGGCUGUCCAAGAAGAAAAUGUAGCCAUUGGUGCCAUCUAUCGACCACAAGUUAAAGAUUGGAGAUCCGUUGGAUACCGACCGAGUUAUAGGCAAAACUUGGGGCUAAAAAGAGGAAAAAUAUACAUUUUCACAAACAGGAUAUGGAACUUGGUUCCUCGAAUAACUUCUGGCACAAACAUCUGAGAGCAUGGCCGUCCAAGAAGAAAAAGUAGCCAUUGAUGCCAUCUAUCGACCACAGGUUAAAGAUUGGCGAUCCGUUGGAUACCGACCGAGUUAUAGGCAAAACUUGGCGCAAAAAUGAGGAAAAUUUUACAUUUUCUCAACAGGGUAUGGAACUUGUUUCCUCGAAUAACUUCUGGCACAGACAUCUGAGGGCAUGGCCGUCCAAGAAGAAAAUGUAGCCAUUGAUGCCAUCUAUCGACCACAGGUUAAAGAUUGGCGAUCCGUUGGAUACCGACAGAGUUAUAGGCAAAACUUGGUGCAAAAAUGAGCCUUAGUCAAUUUUCAUUUUUUUGAUUUUUUUGAUUUUUUAUUAUUUUUCACUCUUUUUUUUAUUUAAAGCAUUACUUGAGUGAAAAGAAACGCAUUGCAACCAAUUGGCAUUAAAAUAAAUCAAUUUAAUUUUUUUUGCAAAAUUUCCCAAAAAAAUGGCAAGGGGUACCCCUUAUGAAAUUUUCGAGUGUAAAUUUUUUUUUAAAUUUUUUUCCGAUUUUUUAUUCUUUUUUGUGUUUAAAGCAUUAUUUGAGUGAAAAGAAACUUAUUGCAACUAAUUCGCAUAAAAAUAUAUCAAUUUUUUAAAUUUUGCUAAAUUGCUCAAAAAAUGGUAUGGAACUUGGUUCCUCGAAUAACUUCUGGCACAGACAUCUGAGGGCAUGGCCGUCCAAGAAGAAAAUGUAGCCAUUGGUGCCAUCUAUCGGUCACAAGUUAAAGAUUGGCGAUCCGUUGGAUACCGACAGAGUUAUAGGCAAAACUUGGUGCAAAAAUGAGCCUUAGUCAAUUUUCAUUUUUUUGAUUUUUUUGAUUUUUUUAUUAUUUUUCACUCUUUUUUUAUUUAAAGCAUUACUUGAGUGAAAAGAAACACAUUGCAACCAAUUGGCAUUAAAAUGAAUCAAUUUAUUUUUUUUUGCAAAAUUUCCCAAAAAAAAUGGCAAGGGGUACCCCUUAUGAAAUUUUCGAGUGUAAAUUUUUUUUUAAAUUUUUUUCCGAUUUUUUAUUCUUUUUUGUGUUUAAAGCAUUACUUGAGUGAAAAGAAACUUAUUGCAACUAAUUCGCAUUAAAAUAUAUCAAUUUUUUAAAUUUUGCUAAAUUGCUCAAAAAAUGGUAUGGAACUUGAUUCCUCGAAUAACUUCUGGCACAGACAUCUGAGGGCAUGGCCGUCCAAGAAGAAAAUGUAGCCAUUGGUGCCAUCUAUCGGUCACAAGUUAAAGAUUGGCGAUCCGUUGGAUACCGACCGAGUUAUAGGCAAAACUUGGCGCAAAAAUGAGGAAAAUUUUCCAUUUUCUCAAACAGGGUAAGGAACUUGGUUCGUCGAAUAACUUCUGGCACAAACAUCUGAGGGCAUGGCCGUCCAAGAAGAAAAUGUAGCCAUUGAUGCCAUCUAUCGACCACCGGUUAAAGAUUGGCGAUCCGUUGGAUACCGACAGAGUUAUAGGAAAAACUUGGUGCAAAAAUGAGCCUUAGUCAAUUUUCAUUUUUUUGAUUUUUUUGAUUUUUUUAUUAUUUUUCACUCUUUUUUUAUUUAAAGCAUUACUUGAGUGAAAAGAAACACAUUGCAACCAAUUGGCAUUAAAAUAAAUCAAUUAAAUUUUGUUUGCAAAAUUUCCCAAAAAAAAUGGCAAGGGGUACCCCUUAUGAAAUUUUCGAGUGUAAAUUUUUUUUUAAAUUUUUUUCCGAUUUUUUAUUCUUUUUUGUGUUUAAAGCAUUACUUAAGUGAAAAGAAACUUAUUGCAACUAAUUCGCAUUAAAAUAUAUCAUUUUUUUAAAUUUUGCUAAAUUGCUCAAAAAAUGGUAUGGAACUUGGUUCCUCGAAUAACUUCUGGCACAGACAUCUGAGGGCAUGGCCGUCCAAGAAGAAAAUGUAGCCAUUGAUGCCAUCUAUCGGUCACAAGUUAAAGAUUGACGAUCCGUUGGAUACCGACAGAGUUAUAGGCAAAACUUGGUGCAAAAAUGAGCCUUAGUCAAUUUUCAUUUUUUUGAUUUUUUUGAUUUUUUUAUUAUUUUUCACUCUUUUUUUUAUUUAAAGCAUUACUUGAGUGAAAAGAAACACAUUGCAACCAAUUGGCAUUAAAAUAAAUCAAUUAAAUUUUUGUUGCAAAAUUUCCCAAAAAAAAUGGCAAGGGGUACCCCUUAUGAAAUUUUCGAGUGUAAAUUUUUUUUUAAAUUUUUUUCCGAUUUUUUAUUCUUUUUUGUGUUUAAAGCAUUAUUUGAGUGAAAAGAAACUUAUUGCAACUAAUUCGCAUUAAAAUAUAUCAUUUUUUUAAAUUUUGCUAAAUUGCUCAAAAAAUGGUAUGGAACUUGGUUCCUCGAAUAACUUCUGGCACAGAGAUCUGAGGGCAUGGCCGUCCAAGAAGAAAAUGUAGCCAUUGAUGCCAUCUAUCGGUCACAAGUUAAAGAUUGGCGAUCCGUUGGAUACCGACAGAGUUAUAGGCAAAACUUGGCGCAAAAAUGAGGAAAAUUUUACAUUUUCUCAAACAGGGUAUGGAACUUGGUUCGUCGAAUAACUUCUGGCACAAACAUCUGAGGGCAUGGCCGUCCAAGAAGAAAAUGUAGCCAUUGAUGCCAUCUAUCGACCACAGGUUAAAGAUUGGCGAUCCGUUGGAUACCGACAGAGUUAUAGGCAAAAGUUGGCGCAAAAAUGAGGAAAAUUUUACAUUUUCUCAAACAGGGUAUGGAACUUGGUUCCUCGAAUAACUUCUGGCACAGACAUCUGAGGGCAUGGCCGUCCAAGAAGAAAAUGUAGCCAUUGGUGCCAUCUAUCGACCACAGGUUAAAGAUUGACGAUCCGUUGGAUACCGACAGAGUUAUAGGCAAAACUUGGUGCAAAAAUGAGCCUUAGUCGAUUUUCAUUUUUUUGAUUUUUUUAUUAUUUUUCACUCUUUUUUUUAUUUAAAGCAUUACUUGAGUGAAAAGAAACGCAUUGCAACCAAUUGGCAUUAAAAUAAAUCAAUUUAAUUUUUUUUGCAAAAUUUCCCAAAAAAAUGGCAAGGGGUACCCCUUAUGAAAUUUUCGAGUGUAAAUUUUUUUUUAAAUUUUUUUCCGAUUUUUUAUUCUUUUUUGUGUUUAAAGCAUUAUUUGAGUGAAAAGAAACUUAUUGCAACUAAUUCGCAUUAAAAUAUAUCAUUUUUUUAAAUUUUGCUAAAUUGCUCAAAAAAUGGUAUGGAACUUGGUUCCUCGAAUAACUUCUGGCACAGACAUCUGAGGGCAUGGCCGUCCAAGAAGAAAAUGUAGCCAUUGGUGCCAUCUAUCGGUCACAAGUUAAAGAUUGGCGAUCCGUUGGAUACCGACCGAGUUAUAGGCAAAACUUGGCGGAAAAAUGAGGAAAAUUUUCCAUUUUCUCAAACAGGGUAUGGAACUUGGUUCGUCGAAUAACUUCUGGCACAAACAUCUGAGAGCAUGGCCGUCCAAGAAGAAAAAGUAGCCAUUGAUGCCAUCUAUCGACCACAAGUUAAAGAUUGGCGAUCCGUUGGAUACCGACAGAGUUAUAGGCAAAACUUGGCGCAAAAAUGAGGAAAAUUUUACAUUUUCUCAAACAGGGUAUGGAACUUGGUUCGUCGAAUAACUUCUGGCACAAACAUCUGAGGGCAUGGCCGUCCAAGAAGAAAAUGUAGCCAUUGAUGCCAUCUAUCGACCACAGGUUAAAGAUUGGCGAUCCGUUGGAUACCGACAGAGUUAUAGGCAAAACUUGGCGCAAAAAUGAGGAAAAUUUUACAUUUUCUCAAACAGGGUAUGGAACUUGGUUCGUCGAAUAACUUCUGGCACAAACAUCUGAGGGCAUGGCCGUCCAAGAAGAAAAUGUAGCUAUUGAUGCCAUCUAUCGACCACAGGUUAAAG
Anopheles funestus (African malaria mosquito) is the source of this 4243-nucleotide long non-coding RNA. RefSeq lists it as uncharacterized. The transcript has 4 exons. The record is from RefSeq and is a predicted model, not a curated record. Lineage: Eukaryota; Metazoa; Arthropoda; Insecta; Diptera; Culicidae.